ACGGGGUGCAGCAGGCGCGAAAACUUUACAAUGCACGCAAGUGUGAUAAGGGAACCCUAAGUGCUCAGCUAUGCUGGGCUUUUGUCAAGAGUAAGUAUCUUGGCGAAUAAGUGGUGGGUAAGACGGGUGCCAGCCGCCGCGGUAACCCCCGCGCCACAAGUGGGAGCCACCAUUAUUGGGCCUAAAGCGUCCGUAGCCGGUUUAGUAAAUCUUUUGUGAAAUUGCUAGGCUCAACUUAGCAACGGGCAAAAGAAACUGCUAGACUAGGGACCGGGAGGAGUUAGAGGUAUUCCGAGGGGAGCGGUAAAAUGCAAUAAUCCUUGGAGGACCGCCUAUGGCGAAGGCAUCUAACCAUAACGGAUCCGACGGUGAGGGACGAAAGCUAGGGGAGCGAUCCGGAUUAGAUACCCGAGUAGUCCUAGCUGUAAACUCUGCGAGUUAGGUGUUGCACAAUCUUAGAGAUUGUGCAGUAUCGAAGCGAAGGUGUUAAACUCGCCGCCUGGGAAGUACGGUCGCAAGGCUGAAACUUAAAGGAAUUGGCGGGGGAGCAC
This 551-nucleotide ribosomal RNA is filed under the name uncultured archaeon. RNAcentral describes it as "bacterial SSU rRNA". It matches the Rfam family "Archaeal small subunit ribosomal RNA", at positions 325 to 879 of the family's 1478-position model. The record is from RNAcentral.